RNAcentral lists this ribosomal RNA (258 nucleotides) under uncultured Anaplasma sp. Its description in RNAcentral is "partial 16S ribosomal RNA". It matches the Rfam family "Bacterial small subunit ribosomal RNA", at positions 338 to 613 of the family's 1533-position model. Lineage: Bacteria; Pseudomonadati; Pseudomonadota; Alphaproteobacteria; Rickettsiales; Anaplasmataceae. The record is from RNAcentral.
CCUACGGGGGGCUGCAGUGGGGAAUAUUGGACAAUGGGCGCAAGCCUGAUCCAGCUAUGCCGCGUGAGUGAGGAAGGCCUUAGGGUUGUAAAACUCUUUCAGUGGGGAAGAUAAUGACGGUACCCACAGAAGAAGUCCCGGCAAACUCCGUGCCAGCAGCCGCGGUAAUACGGAGGGGGCAAGCGUUGUUCGGAAUUAUUGGGCGUAAAGGGCAUGUAGGCGGUUCGGUAAGUUAAAGGUGAAAUGCCAGGGCUUAAC